AUUUAAAUAGCUUAUAAAUAGAGUAUAAUAUUGAAGAUAUUAGGGAGAUAAAUUUAUCUUUGAAUA
RNAcentral lists this transfer RNA (66 nucleotides) under Amata formosae. Its description in RNAcentral is "tRNA-Phe". Lineage: Eukaryota; Metazoa; Arthropoda; Insecta; Lepidoptera; Erebidae. The record is from RNAcentral.